ACGCGUGUGUGAAGAAGGCCUGAGGGUUGUAAAGCACUUUCAAUAGGAAGGAAUACCUAUCGGUUAAUACCCGGUAGACUGACAUUACCUAUACAAGAAGCACCGGCUAACUCCGUGCCAGCAGCCGCGGUAAUACGGAGGGUGCAAGCGUUAAUCGGAAUUACUGGGCGUAAAGCGUGCGUAGGCGGUUAUUUAAGUCAGAUGUGAAAGCCCUGGGCUUAACCUGGGAACUGCAUUUGAUACUGGAUGACUAGAGUUGAGUAGAGGAGAGUGGAAUUUCAGGUGUAGCGGUGAAAUGCGUAGAGAUCUGAAGGAACACCAGUGGCGAAGGCGGCUCUCUGGACUCAAACUGACGCUGAGGUACGAAAGCGUGGGUAGCAAACAGGAUUAGAUACCCUGGUAGUCCACGCCGUAAACGAUGUCAACUAACCGUUGGGUUCUUUAAGAACUUAGUGGUGGAGCUAACGUAUUAAGUUGACCGCCUGGGGAGUACGGCCGCAAGGCUAAAACUCAAAUGAAUUGACGGGGGCCCGCACAAGCGGUGGAGCAUGUGGUUUAAUUCGAUGCAACGCGAAGAACCUUACCUACCCUUGACCU
Molecule: ribosomal RNA, 597 nt
Filed under: uncultured bacterium
Lineage: Bacteria
Description: bacterial SSU rRNA
Rfam family: Bacterial small subunit ribosomal RNA
Source: RNAcentral